UUCCGGUUGAUCCCGCCGGACCCGACUGCUAUCAGAGUGGGACUAAGCCAUGCGAGUCGACGUAGCAAUGCGUGGCGAACGGCUCAGUAACACGUAGUCAACAUGCCCAGGGGACGUGGAUAACCUCGGGAAACUGAGAAUAAACCACGAUAGGUCACGAUUUCUGGAAUGGAUCAUGGCAUAAAUCUACAUGGCCCCUGGAUUGGACUGCGGCCGAUCAGGCAGUUGGUGAGGUAAUGGCCCACCAAACCUAUAACCGGUACGGGCUCUGAGAGGAGAAGCCCGGAGAUGGGCACUGAGACAAGGGCCCAGGCCCUAUGGGGCGCAGCAGGCGCGAAACCUCUGCAAUAGGCGAAAGCCUGACAGGGUUACUCUGAGUGAUUUCCGCUAAGGGGAUCUUUUGGCACCUCUAAAAAUGGUGCAGAAUAAGGGGUGGGCAAGUCUGGUGUCAGCCGCCGCGGUAAUACCAGCACCCCGAGUGGUCGGGACGAUUAUUGGGCCUAAAGCAUCCGUAGCCGGUUCUGCAAGUCCUCCGUUAAAUCCAGCCGCUCAACGGAUGGGCCGCGGAGGAUACUAUAGGACUAGGAGGCGGGAGAGGCAAGCGGUACUCAGUGGGUAGGGGUAAAAUCCGUUGAUCCAUUGAAGACCACCAGUGGCGAAGGCGGCUUGCCAGAACGCGCUCGACGGUGAGGGAUGAAAGCUGGGGGAGCAAACCGGAUUAGAUACCCGGGUAGUCCCAG
Molecule: ribosomal RNA, 740 nt
Filed under: uncultured archaeon
Lineage: Archaea
Description: bacterial SSU rRNA
Rfam family: Archaeal small subunit ribosomal RNA
Source: RNAcentral